GGGGGCUUAGCUCAGCGGCGGAGCGCACGGUUCACAUCCGUGAGGUCACAGGUUCAAAUCCUGUAGCCCCCACCA
This 75-nucleotide transfer RNA is filed under the name Candidatus Fermentithermobacillaceae bacterium. RNAcentral's name for it is "tRNA-Val". It matches the Rfam family "tRNA". From Rfam's summary of the family: Transfer RNA (tRNA) molecules are approximately 80 nucleotides in length. Their secondary structure includes four short double-helical elements and three loops (D, anti-codon, and T loops). Lineage: Bacteria; Bacillati; Bacillota; Candidatus Fermentithermobacillia; Candidatus Fermentithermobacillales; Candidatus Fermentithermobacillaceae. The record is from RNAcentral.